This 564-nucleotide long non-coding RNA is filed under the name Homo sapiens (human). RNAcentral's name for it is "non-protein coding lnc-SLC39A11-1:37". The record is from RNAcentral. Lineage: Eukaryota; Metazoa; Chordata; Mammalia; Primates; Hominidae.
CCGGGCUGGACGGUUGGGAAGGAAGGUCGUGGACAACAAAGUAAUGAACAAAAAUAUGUUUCACGCAUGAGAAGCUGUCCGAGAUGGCAGUGAGGGAGAGGUCAUGGCAAACGGUGUUUAUGGCAUGGAAAAGUGAAGAUUCAAAAAAAAACCCAAGGAGAGGCCAAGAUAGUGUGGAAAAUAUCCACCCCCUCCCAGAGACAGCUCAUUAGGAAGGUUUUGGAGGGAGACUCGCAGGAGGUCAGGGGCUGCUGUGUUAUCUUUGGAGGAAAGGCCAUCCCUUCUCUUCCCCUCCGCAGACGUAUCCAGUGAGACAACUCUCUCCCCAGCAAGCUUUUCUCAGGGAGCAGGCAGUUUCUUGAAAAAAUGAACCAGAUGAGGAUCCACCCACCUCCAGAAACAAAGACUGUGGCUGUCUCCAAGAAUGAAGCACCAGUCUCUUAGUUGGUAUCCCCAGGAGACCAAGGUAAAUUGUAACCACUGAAAGUCCGCUGUUUCGAUUCUGGGCAAGAUGCUAUGGCAGAACAGGGACCAUGAUGAACUACUUAGAAAAAUACAUAAGGC